Non-coding RNA from Neolamprologus brichardi, 460 nucleotides. NCBI's taxonomy places the organism in Eukaryota, Metazoa, Chordata, Actinopteri, Cichliformes, Cichlidae. The record is from RefSeq and is a predicted model, not a curated record.
CAGUCAAACAACAACUUACUGUUGAAGUACCAAAUGCAGUUAGGAAGGAUGUGAAUGGGUGUCUAAACAUGACAGGAGGAAGUUAAAGAAAUGUGAGCCGCUUUUUUACUGGCAUUUUAGUAGUGGUGAAAGGGCCACAGCAAUCCACAGCAACAGGAGAGAAACCUAAGAUACUUGAACAUAGUUUAAAAAAACAUGCCUUGGGGAAAUGUAAUUUGCAGUUUCAAAGCUGGGAUCCACAUUAAAGGCCUACAGACACAGCUACUGCUGCUGUUCACCAUCAGCUCAACAUAUGGACAUUCUUCACUUGAGUCUACAACUUGAUGAUCCGUUUUUUCAAGCAUAAUUUUCACAGAGGAAUGCCCAACAAUGAAGAGACAGCAACAUUCAAGCCUAAUGUCUGGAGAAAUAUUAUUCAUUAAUGCCUUGGUACUUGAGAUAAAAGAUACAGUUAAUCUAC